UACGAAGGGUGCAAACGUUGCUCGGAAUCAUUGGGCGUAAAGCGCACGUAGGCGGCCUUGUAAGUCGGAUGUGAAAUCCCACGGCUCAACCGUGGACGUGCAUUCGAAACUGCUCGGCUCGAGUAUGGAAGAGGGUCGCGGAAUUCCCGGUGUAGAGGUGAAAUUCGUAGAUAUCGGGAGGAACACCGGUGGCGAAGGCGGCAUCCUGGACCAACACUGACGCUGAGGAGCGAAAGCCAGGGGAGCAAACGGG
RNAcentral lists this ribosomal RNA (253 nucleotides) under uncultured bacterium. RNAcentral's name for it is "partial 16S ribosomal RNA". It matches the Rfam family "Bacterial small subunit ribosomal RNA", at positions 524 to 776 of the family's 1533-position model. The record is from RNAcentral.